UACAGAGGGGGCAAGCGUUGUUCGGAAUUACUGGGCGUAAAGGGCGCGUAGGCGGCCUGCUAAGUCGAACGUGAAAUCCCUGGGCUCAACCCAGGAACUGCGUCCGAUACUGGUUGGCUUGAAUCCGGGAGAGGGAUGUGGAAUUCCAGGUGUAGCGGUGAAAUGCGUAGAUAUCUGGAGGAACACCGGUGGCGAAGGCGGCAUCCUGGACCGGCAUUGACGCUGAGGCGCGAAAGCCAGGGGAGCAAGCGGG
Molecule: ribosomal RNA, 253 nt
Filed under: uncultured bacterium
Lineage: Bacteria
Description: partial 16S ribosomal RNA
Rfam family: Bacterial small subunit ribosomal RNA
Source: RNAcentral